GAAGAACUUACCAAGGCUUGACAUGUUCUCGAUAGCCGUAGAGAUACGGUUUCCCCUUUGGGGCGGGUUCACAGGUGGUGCAUGGUGUCGUCAGCUCGUGUCGUGAGAUGUUGGGUUAAGUCCCGCAACGAGCGCAACCCUCGUUCCAUGUUGCCAGCACGUAAUGGUGGGGACUCAUGGGAGACUGCCGGGGUCAACUCGGAGGAAGGUGAGGACGACGUCAAAUCAUCAUGCCCCUUAUGUCUUGGGCUUCACGCAUGCUACAAUGGCCGGUACAAUGGGUUGCGAUACUGUGAGGUGGAGCUAAUCCCAAAAAGCCGGUCUCAGUUCGGAUUGGGGUCUGCAACUCGACCCCAUGAAGUCGGAGUCGCUAGUAAUCGCAGAUCAGCAACGCUGCGGUGAAUACGUUCCCGGGCCUUGUACACACCGCCCGUCAAGUCACGAAAGUUGGUAACACCCGAAGCCGGUGGCCUAACCCUUGUGGGGGGAGCCGUCGAAGGUGGGACCAGCGAUUG
This 515-nucleotide ribosomal RNA is filed under the name Micrococcaceae bacterium NASA2-39. Its description in RNAcentral is "bacterial SSU rRNA". It matches the Rfam family "Bacterial small subunit ribosomal RNA", at positions 963 to 1477 of the family's 1533-position model. Lineage: Bacteria; Bacillati; Actinomycetota; Actinomycetes; Micrococcales; Micrococcaceae. The record is from RNAcentral.